GAUGAAGAACGCAGUGAAAUGCGAUAAGUAAUGUGAAUUGCAGAAUUCAGUGAAUCAUCGAAUCUUUGAACGCACAUUGCGCCCUCUGGUAUUCCGGGGGGCAUGCCUGUUCGAGCGUCAUUAUAACCACUCAAGCUCUCGCUUGGUAUUGGGGUUCGCGGUUUCGCGGCCCCUAAAAUCAGUGGCGGUGCCUGUCGGCUCUACGCGUAGUAAUACUUCUCGCGAUUGAGUUCGAUAGGUCUACUUGCCAGUAACCCCCAAUUUUUACAGGUUGACCUCGGAUCAGGUAGGGAUACCCGCUGAACUUAAGCAUAUCAAUAAGCGGAGGA
RNAcentral lists this unclassified non-coding RNA (329 nucleotides) under soil metagenome. RNAcentral's name for it is "partial contains 5.8S ribosomal RNA, internal transcribed spacer 2, and large subunit ribosomal RNA". The stretch from base 1 to 120 matches the Rfam family "5.8S ribosomal RNA", at positions 35 to 154 of the family's 154-position model. The record is from RNAcentral.